CAGAGUUCAUGCCCUUCGGGGUAGACCUCCCACCCUUUGUAUACAUUGCCUUUGUUGCUUUGGCGGGCCGCCGCGCCUGCGUCCACCGGCCUCGGCUGGUGCGCGCCCGCCAGAGCCCCUUUAAACCCUGUCUUACAGUGUCGUCCGAGUACUAUAUAAUAGUUA
Molecule: unclassified non-coding RNA, 165 nt
Filed under: uncultured Pezizella
Lineage: Eukaryota; Fungi; Ascomycota; Leotiomycetes; Helotiales; Hyaloscyphaceae
Description: sequence contains ITS1
Source: RNAcentral